ACGUAAUAGAUACCCGGGUAGUCCACGCCCUAAACGAUGUCUACUAGUUGUUGGUGGAGUAAAAUCCAUGAGUAAACGCAGCUAAACGCGUGAAGUAGACCGCCUGGGGAGUACGGUCGCAAGAUUAAAACUCAAAUGAAUUGACGGGGGCCCGCACAAGCGGUGGAUUAUGUGGAUUAAAUUCGAUGCAACGCGAAAAACCUUACCUGGCCUUGACAUGUAACGAACUUUCCAGAGAUGGAUUGGUGCUCGAAAGAGAACGUUAACACAGGUGCUGCAUGGCUGUCGUCAGCUCGUGUCGUGAGAUGUUGGGUUAAGUUCCGCAACGAGCGCAACCCUUGCCAUUAAUUGCCAUCAUUUAGUUGGGCACUUUAAUGGGACUGCCGGUGACAAACCGGAGGAAGGUGGGGAUGACGUCAAGUCCUCAUGGCCCUUAUGGCCAGGGCUUCACACGUAAUACAAUGGUCGGUACAGAGGGUUGCCAACCCGCGAGGGGAGCCAAUCCCAGAAAGCCGAUCGUAGUCCGGAUUGUAGUCUGCAACUCGACUAC
Molecule: ribosomal RNA, 550 nt
Filed under: uncultured bacterium
Lineage: Bacteria
Description: bacterial SSU rRNA
Rfam family: Bacterial small subunit ribosomal RNA
Source: RNAcentral